Molecule: ribosomal RNA, 659 nt
Filed under: Streptococcus intermedius
Lineage: Bacteria; Bacillati; Bacillota; Bacilli; Lactobacillales; Streptococcaceae
Description: bacterial SSU rRNA
Rfam family: Bacterial small subunit ribosomal RNA
Source: RNAcentral
GUAGAACGCACAGGAUGCACCGUAGUUUACUACACCGUAUUCUGUGAGUUGCGAACGGGUGAGUAACGCGUAGGUAACCUGCCUGGUAGCGGGGGAUAACUAUUGGAAACGAUAGCUAAUACCGCAUAAGAACAUUUACUGCAUGGUAGAUGUUUAAAAGGUGCAAAUGCAUCACUACCAGAUGGACCUGCGUUGUAUUAGCUAGUAGGUGAGGUAACGGCUCACCUAGGCGACGAUACAUAGCCGACCUGAGAGGGUGAUCGGCCACACUGGGACUGAGACACGGCCCAGACUCCUACGGGAGGCAGCAGUAGGGAAUCUUCGGCAAUGGGGGGAACCCUGACCGAGCAACGCCGCGUGAGUGAAGAAGGUUUUCGGAUCGUAAAGCUCUGUUGUUAAGGAAGAACGAGUGUGAGAAUGGAAAGUUCAUACUGUGACGGUACUUAACCAGAAAGGGACGGCUAACUACGUGCCAGCAGCCGCGGUAAUACGUAGGUCCCGAGCGUUGUCCGGAUUUAUUGGGCGUAAAGCGAGCGCAGGCGGUUAGAUAAGUCUGAAGUUAAAGGCAGUGGCUCAACCAUUGUAGGCUUUGGAAACUGUUUAACUUGAGUGCAGAAGGGGAGAGUGGAAUUCCAUGUGUAGCGGUGAAAUGCGUAGAU